Molecule: unclassified non-coding RNA, 352 nt
Filed under: soil metagenome
Description: partial contains 5.8S ribosomal RNA, internal transcribed spacer 2, and large subunit ribosomal RNA
Rfam family: 5.8S ribosomal RNA (bases 1-120)
Source: RNAcentral
GAUGAAGAACGUAGCGAAAUGCGAUAAGUAGUGUGAAUUGCAGAAUUCAGUGAAUCAUCGAAUCUUUGAACGCACAUUGCGCCCGCCAGUAUUCUGGCGGGCAUGCCUGUUCGAGCGUCAUUACAACCCUCAGGCCCCCGGGCCUGGCGUUGGGGAUCGGCGGAGCCCCCCGUGGGCACACGCCGUCCCCCAAAUGCAGUGGCGGUCCCGCCGCAGCUUCCAUCGCGUAGUAGCUAACACCUCGCGACUGGAGAGCGGCGCGGCCACGCCGUAAAACACCCAACUCUUCUGAAGUUGACCUCGAAUCAGGUUGGAAUACCCGCUGAACUUAAGCAUAUCAAUAAGCGGAGGA